AAAGGCCACGGAGGCAAGAGGCAAAUUCAGGGGUGUUUGGCAGGUCUCUGCAGCAGGUUUUGUGUCACGGGUUUCGACAAGGCAUCUCACCUCACUUGUCAGGGUGGCUUGUCUGGAAGGCCUUGCGGGUAGUACAGAGGGACUGGGAUGCUAAAGGUCUGGGUUCUCCUGCCAGUUUGACCACUGGGUAAUCAUAAGUAAAUCCCUUCCCCUGCCUGUAACACGGGGCAGAUGAUCCUGCCCUCCUUUGCAAAGCGCUUUGAAAUGUACUGCUGCACCAUGCUCCAUUCGAGCCAGGGGAUGCUGGUCGUCACUGCACUCCAGAUCCAGCUGUUUCAGCAGCACUUGGGCACCCUUCAGGCCUCCUGCUCCAGUGCCCGGGCUCGCCCUGAAAGCAGGCAGGAGCUAAAGCAUCUUUCAUCCAUCUCGCUUUUCCUUCACCCUCCUGCAAAGUGACAUUUUUCUCCUCCGCUGGGAGGUUCACGGUGGAAUGUCAUUUGCCGUGUGCCGCGUGCUCUGUGUCCGAGAGGAUCCUGAAUGCUUAACGCCACUGACAGGUAUCAAAUGCCAUCAGGUACUCAACCCUCUGACCUGCAUGAACAUCCAUGUAGAACAAACCUGAGGAGAAACCUCCUACUUUUAUUUUUCACUCAUUAAGCAUCAUAUCCCACCAUGGCACCUCUACCUUGGAGCUGAGAGCCUGGAAAAUCAAACACAUGCAAGCUUUGGUACACACACAUAUACACAGAGAGAGAGACUACCAAGGUAAUGGGCUAUAUCAGUCACAAAAUGGCAUUAAACUGCAGCAAGCAGCCACAACCUUUCCAAAAAUCACAGCCAAGGUUCAAAGCCGAUCUUCAGAAAUCCAGCUGUUAGGAUGCUGACUUAUCCACUGGCUCUUCCCCUUCCGACACGGAUUUGGGGAAAGUUGGGACUGUAUGAUGGGAACCGAUUGGGGUGGGGGGCAGAGUUUGACAAUGGCAUUCACUUCACCAUUUUGGUGACAUAAUUUUUUGGGGCAGGGAGGGGUUAUUUGGGUUUUGGUUUUAUUUUAUUUUAUUUGUCUGGGUCGUUAUUCUUUUAUUUCCCCACCAACCGUAGGAUCCAGUCAACUCCUCCUAAUUUUCCCAAGACAACAAGAAGAAUGACAAUCUUAAGAAAACAACACCCUCCUUUCAUGCUUCUAUAAAUACGUUUCUGAUC
Gavialis gangeticus (Gharial) is the source of this 1203-nucleotide long non-coding RNA. RefSeq lists it as uncharacterized. Lineage: Eukaryota; Metazoa; Chordata; Crocodylia; Gavialidae. The transcript has 2 exons. The record is from RefSeq and is a predicted model, not a curated record.